UCGGAAAAGAACUUGUUCGCGGUGUCCUGGAAACUAUCCGAGCUAAACAGACAUACGUACAUGAGCAUGCACGCGCGUGCACACACGCACAUGUCAUAAACUCAAACCACUGGAUUUCAGAUUGGCGAGUGCAGAGGAGAAAUCUCUCAGCCCUGGGCGAGCAGCAUCAGUGUGGAAUUCAAUGAUCGAUCCAAGGAGGAAAAGUGGGCUCAGGGAAUACGACGAACACCGGAAACUGGGACACCUCUCUACCUGCCAAGUGGUCCAGGCUGCAAGAGGAUUAAGAGAGCUGACUUCCUAAAAGACUAUGGAAAAUAAUGCUUAUGGGAGCAGUGGAGCAUGUAUCCUUGCAAGGGAUUCCUCACAGGGAGAUUCAGUGCUGAUUGAUGUUAGAAGGAGCCUCUCGUAACUAAAGAAGCCCAGCAAAGAAGUCAUAAUACAGAUUCAGAGACAAAAAUUUACCAAAAAAUUUUUGGAAAAUUGAACAAUAGACAAAAAUCUUUCAUUCUAUUUGUAAAGAUAAAAGAUCACAAGAACAAAGAAAACAUCUGUUUGAUGAAAAAUUUCUUCAACCCCAGUAUUUUAGUGAAAAAUUAUCUUCUGUUGUAGUUGUAGCCUUGAAGAACACAUGAAUGAUGAACAUUCUGGAAAAAGGAAUGCCAAGUUGGAGGGUAAGAAAGUGAAAAGAGUCAGGAUUGGGAAGCAAAGAUAGGGCUAGAUACAGAAGUCAUUCGGGAAUGAAGAAAACAAUAAAAAUGGUCUGGUCACUUGUUAUAUCAUUAUAAUAUGAUAAAAGAAUAACACAAUUGAGAUGCAAUCAGAGAAGUAAAACCAAUUUCUAUUGUAAAUGCCCUAGAUGGUUAUAAACAUCAACUGCAUUUGAGAAUUACCAAUUGAUUCAGAGGACUCUGAUGCCCCUAAACCAGUGAUGAAAUACAAGGGAUGCUAUGACAAAGUUUUUCAUGAAACUGAAAACUGUUGAUGUUUAGAGAGUAUUGGAGAAAUAGUUAAAUUGGAAAAUAAUAUAGUCAUAAAAUCCACAAGUGUAAACCAGUAGCACAACUCAAGAACAAACUACAAAUAACUGAAGGAA
This 1093-nucleotide long non-coding RNA is filed under the name Sarcophilus harrisii (Tasmanian devil). RNAcentral describes it as "lncRNA (ENSSHAG00000029055.1)". The record is from RNAcentral. Lineage: Eukaryota; Metazoa; Chordata; Mammalia; Dasyuromorphia; Dasyuridae.